Molecule: long non-coding RNA, 2128 nt
Organism: Rhinopithecus bieti (black snub-nosed monkey)
Lineage: Eukaryota; Metazoa; Chordata; Mammalia; Primates; Cercopithecidae
Source: Ensembl
AAGUUCAAGAAACUAUUUGUCUUGGUUUGGGUUUCCAUAGAUGCAGACCCUGAGACAAGCAUUCAAGUAUGAGUGAUUUCUUUGGAAGGUGGUCCCAGGAAGUGCUGGCAGGAAAGUGGGAGAGUGACUCAGGAAGGAAAGAAGACCAUGAAGUUGUGGUAUCAAGUCAGUUACCUACCAGCAACUGGAGGUCGGGACCUCCAGAAAACUCUGGUAGGCAAUGGAGGAUGCUCAUCAAUUAUUCUCACUAAAGUACCAAAAAAUGGAGCCAAUCAUCCACCAACUUCUUGCCUUGGUUGAAGACAUUCACUCUUCCCUUGCCUUGCAAGUCUGCUUCUGGGGAAACAAAACCUCAGUAUUUUCAGAAAUAUAUACUUGGAGUAUGUCAUGUAUUAAUGGGUAAAGACGCCAUGGAUAUGAAGGAGAUUACCUAUGGAAGAAUAUUAAGAAGAAAAGAAGGUAAAGAAUCUUCCUUGAGGAACAUCACAUUUAAAGGUCAGGGAGAAGAUAUAUCAGUAGGAGCAUCAGAGGGAGUUGUGGACAAAAUAUUUUCAAAAAUUAAGAUGUGAAGACCACUAGAAUUUGCUUAAAUGCUGUUGGAAAAAGAUAUCAUAGCAAACAGGAGUGUGAAAAUAUAGGUAAGUGAAAAGAGGAAUAGUCAUUGGUGUAAGAUUCCCAAGGGAGUAAGAUAAAAUUGAAUCCAGGUCCUGAAUCCUGGGAUAAACUUUGCAAAAUAUUUGGUAGAUUGGGUCAUAGAAAACAGAGGAAGUUCUUCUCUGAUAUUUGGAUAAUUCUAUAUUUGGAAACAACAAGAUAAUGGAUUGUCUUUCUUCCUACUUUUACCUUACUGUUUGAGUACUGGCGUGAACAAAACUCAGAACAUAAUGAAUCUCACUUAUUUCCAAGUGGGCUACUGCAUUAUUUAAAAAAACACAUCACAUGGACAUGGAGUUUGAGGAGAAGAUUUAUUCUAUUUAAUAUUAAGUUAGGCUUCCUUCCUCUAUUCAUCAAAUUGAACUGGAUAGGAGUCCCUAAUCCAACACCUCCAACUGGAGAAACAGUCUACUGAUUCUCACAGAUCUCAUGUCCUGCUUUGUGUAGAUAAUUUUCAUACGGAUUAUAAUGAAUAAUAUUAAUUUAAACAAUUCCCUAGAAGCCUAAAACAUUUUGUUUGAAGCUCUUCUUUGUCCAACUAAAAAUAACAUCUGGUCUACAAGGCUACCAUCAUAAUUGAGUUCUACAUCUCCAGUCACAACUAGAACCAAAAUUACAGUGAACAUACAAUAAUUCUUUAUCUCUUGGUUUCAGAUUUUUCUCAGUUAUUUAUACCUCUCUAUUAUGGUCUCAUGUUCCUUUCUGUUACAGAGUUUCAGUCUAUGUUGAGUCAAGCAAUUAUAGGGCUGCUUAAACUCUGGUUCAUUAGCCAUGGUCCACUAGUAUCCAUGUCAUGGCGCUAGGGUUUAAUAUGGUUAAUAGGAUCCUGGAUGAGGAAGUAUAUUGAAAAUUAACUUUAAAUUAAACAUAAAACACUAAAAAUUAUUAGAAGCAUUAAAAAAAUAAAUUUUUCCAUAUAUGGGUUAGAAAAUCUGACUUUAUUUUGAUCGUAGGGGCUGCUGGCUACAGUGAAAUGUAUAAAAAAGAGAGCGUGAUUCUAGUUUCUGUCUCUACUAUGAGUUACUUGUGAUUAACUUCAAAUAUUCCCUCCACGAGAAGAGACCCAGGAGAAGAAAAUGAACUUCAGUUAUUCUAGCACAACCACGGUGAUAUUUGUAAAGAUUCAAAACCUAUAAUAAAAUGUAGAAAAGGAAACUCCAUUUGAAAUGAUUUGAAAUCUCACAUGGAAAUCUAGUUUUUUAAAUCAGAGCUUAGUCAGAGAAAAUAACAGAAUAUUGUAAUAAUUGAAUUACAAAAACAACUGAAUUUUGGAAAAUAAUUUUUUCUCUCACGUGAUGUGUGUAUGUCUAUCUAUUUAGCAGUGGUGUUAUUCUAUCAAAUGGGAUUAGAUUCAUUUCUGAGUCCUGCUAAGCACCCUGUCCCCCCACCCUCAAGAUUAUGAAAGUGGAAGGGAAGGGGGAGAUAGGGAGGGAAUAUGACUUAUUUAAACUGUAUAAAAAUGCUGAAAUAAAAU